RNAcentral lists this transfer RNA (85 nucleotides) under Microbacterium sp. CH12i. RNAcentral describes it as "tRNA-Gly". Lineage: Bacteria; Bacillati; Actinomycetota; Actinomycetes; Micrococcales; Microbacteriaceae. The record is from RNAcentral.
GGGGGCUGGAAUUGCCGGCACACCACCCUGCCAAGGCGGAGACCUCGCAAGGGAUCCAGGGGUUCAAAUCCCCUCGUCUCCGCCA